GGUUCAGCUUAUACUUUGCAUAAGUUUACCGUUUGAAAAUAAUUCCCGCCAAAAGGUGCCUGCGACAGCAAGCAACUUCGUAAACAAAGAAUUAAUUGCAAACUAGAACCAGUAGAGUGUUUGACCCGGCUCUAUCAGGUAAUUAUCUUGCGAAAUCUCCUUUUUUUAUUUAGUCGCAACUAGGUAUAAAUAGCAAAUUAUUAAAAAAAGUUUCAUAUCAAGCUCGAAGUUUGGUUCCCGGUCCAGGACUCGAGAAGCCGCUGCAGUUCCGGCCAGAUACAGUAGUUACAGCAAGAGAAGCUCUGGCAGACGGUCCCGAUCCCGAUCGAAAUCUUGAUAUCUGCAAAGCUCUGCGACUCGGAAGUGGAAGUGAAUGGCAUCGAGCAGAUCCCCGAAUGCUGGUUCUGAUCACAAAGAAGGAAAAUCAGGAACAAUGACAAACCAGUGCAAUUUUCGACGUGGAAGGUGAAGGAAUUUGCGGUGUCGGAGGCGAUGGUUGCAACAUCGUAAACGACUUCGAGCUGAU
Long non-coding RNA from Aedes albopictus (Asian tiger mosquito), 526 nucleotides. RefSeq lists it as uncharacterized. The record is from RefSeq and is a predicted model, not a curated record. The transcript is spliced from 2 exons. NCBI's taxonomy places the organism in Eukaryota, Metazoa, Arthropoda, Insecta, Diptera, Culicidae.